Molecule: unclassified non-coding RNA, 640 nt
Filed under: uncultured Paenibacillus sp.
Lineage: Bacteria; Bacillati; Bacillota; Bacilli; Caryophanales; Paenibacillaceae
Source: RNAcentral
UCCAGCAGCCGCGGUAAUACGUUCCCGGGUCUUCGCAUACACCGCCCGUCACACCACGAGAGUUUACAACACCCGAAGCCGGUGGGGUAACCCGCAAGGGAGCUAGCCGUCGAAGGUGGGGUAGAUGAUUGGGGUGAAGUCGUAACAAGGUAGCCGUAUCGGAAGGUGCGGCUGGAUCACCUCCUUUCUAAGGAAAUACCCGGUCACGAGGAUGACCGGAUACUCAGGCAGGCUUAUCGCUCACUCGUUGUCAGUUUUGAAAGAGCAAGGAACCCCAAAAAGUGAAGAGAAGCGUUGUAGCUUAUUCCGAUUACUUUUCGGGGACCCCAGAAGUCUUCUUUCAGCCUUUUAAGUCAUCCGUUUGGUGGCGAUGGCGGAGGGGAACCACGCGUACCCAUACCGAACACGACCGUUAAGCCCUCCAGCGCCGAUGGUACUUGGACCGCAGGGUCCUGGGAGAGUAGGACGUCGCCAAGCGGGUGUUAUGUAAUACACCUAUGCAGCAACCGGAAGGUUGACUGUAUUUACCUUUGCACCUUGAAAACUGGAUAACGAAAGAACAGAAAUGCUGAAACAUCCUUUAGCUUUAAAUGAGGUUAAGCUAGUAAGAGCGCACGGAGGAUACCUAGGCACACAGAGA